AAAUUGACGGGAACCCGCACAAGCGGUGGAGUAUGUUGUUUAAUUCGAAGAUACACGAAGAACCUUUACCAGGUCUUGACAUACCAUUGACAGGCACAGAGAUGUGCUCUCCUUCGGGCAAUGGAUACAGGUGGUGCAUGGUUGUCGUCAGCUCGUGCCGUGAGGUGUUGGGUUAAGUCCCGCAACGAGCGCAACCCUCAUUGUUAGUUACUACCAUUCAGUUGAGGACUCUAAUGAGACUGCCAACGAUAAGUUGGAGGAAGGUGGGGAUGACGUCAAAUCAUCAUGCCCUUUAUGACCUGGGCUACAAACGUACUACAAUGGCCAAUACAAAGAGAUGCGAAGCGGUGACGUGGAGCGAACCUCAGAAAGUUGGUCUCAGUUCAGAUUGAAGUCUGCAACUCGACUUCAUGAAGGCGGAAUCGCUAGUAAUCGCGGGUCAGCAGACCGCGGUGAAUACGUUCCCGGGUUUU
This 473-nucleotide ribosomal RNA is filed under the name uncultured Mollicutes bacterium. RNAcentral's name for it is "bacterial SSU rRNA". It matches the Rfam family "Bacterial small subunit ribosomal RNA", at positions 908 to 1382 of the family's 1533-position model. The record is from RNAcentral. Lineage: Bacteria; Bacillati; Mycoplasmatota; Mollicutes.